This 253-nucleotide ribosomal RNA is filed under the name uncultured bacterium. Its description in RNAcentral is "partial 16S ribosomal RNA". It matches the Rfam family "Bacterial small subunit ribosomal RNA", at positions 524 to 776 of the family's 1533-position model. The record is from RNAcentral.
UACAGAGGGUGCGAGCGUUAAUCGGAAUUACUGGGCGUAAAGCGCGCGUAGGCGGCUUUGCAAGUCGGGUGUGAAAUCCCCAGGCUUAACCUGGGAACUGCAUUCGAGACUGCAUAGCUAGAGUAUCGGAGAGGGAAGUGGAAUUUCAGGUGUAGCGGUGAAAUGCGUAGAUAUCUGAAGGAACAUCAGUGGCGAAAGCGACUUCCUGGACGAAUACUGACGCUCAUGUGCGAAAGCGUGGGGAGCAAACAGG